UACGUAGGUGGCAAGCGUUGUCCGGAUUUACCGGGCGUAAAGAGCGCGCAGGCGGUCGUUCAAGUCGCGUGUGAAAGCCCCCGGCUCAACUGGGGAGGGUCACGCGAUACUGAUCGACUCGAAGGCAGGAGAGGGUAGUGGAAUUCCCGGUGUAGUGGUGAAAUGCGUAGAUAUCGGGAGGAACACCAGUGGCGAAGGCGACUACCUGGCCUGUUCUUGACGCUGAGGCGCGAAAGCUAGGGGAGCAAACGGG
This 253-nucleotide ribosomal RNA is filed under the name uncultured bacterium. Its description in RNAcentral is "partial 16S ribosomal RNA". It matches the Rfam family "Bacterial small subunit ribosomal RNA", at positions 524 to 776 of the family's 1533-position model. The record is from RNAcentral.